This 516-nucleotide ribosomal RNA is filed under the name Ephippiomantis ophirensis. Its description in RNAcentral is "partial 16S ribosomal RNA". It matches the Rfam family "Bacterial large subunit ribosomal RNA", at positions 1889 to 2600 of the family's 2925-position model. Lineage: Eukaryota; Metazoa; Arthropoda; Insecta; Mantodea; Hymenopodidae. The record is from RNAcentral.
GGUUUCUUGAAUUAUAUUUAAGAAAUCUAACCUGCCCACUGAAAAGUUUUUGAAGGGCCGCAGUAUUUUGACUGUGCAAAGGUAGCAUAAUCAUUAGUCUUUUAAUUGGAGGCUGGUAUGAAUGGUUGGAUGAGGUGAAUUCUGUUUUAUAUUAAUUUUAAUUGAAUUUAGAUUUUAAGUAAAAAUACUUAAAUUUAAUUAAGGGACGAGAAGACCCUAUAGAGUUUAAUAAACUUAAUAAUUAAUUAAGUUAUUUAAGAAUUUUUAAUUGUUAUGAAAUUUAUUUGGUUGGGGUGAUUGAGAGAUAAAUUAAACUCUUUUUUAGAUUUAAUAAUAUAAUUAAUUAUAUGAUCCAUUAUUAAUGAUUAAAAGAUUAAAUUACCUUAGGGAUAACAGCAUAAUAUUUUUUAAGAGUUCAUAUCGAAAAAAAAGAUUGUGACCUCGAUGUUGGAUUAAGAUUAGUUUUGGGUGCAGAUGUUUUAGAAACUGGGUCUGUUCGACCUUUAAAAUCUUACA